Molecule: RNA transcript, 2339 nt
Organism: Lonchura striata (white-rumped munia)
Lineage: Eukaryota; Metazoa; Chordata; Aves; Passeriformes; Estrildidae
Gene: PDGFA
Gene name: platelet derived growth factor subunit A
Source: RefSeq, a predicted model, not a curated record
GCGGGGGGAGGCGGCCCCAGCGCCGCCCGCGCGAGGGGGGCAGCCGCCCCAGACAGGUGAUGGGCGUUUCGGCUGCGCUCCGGAUCGACUCCUUGGGUUUCACUUUGGUCUGAUCUAAGCAAAUAUGCAGAAGUACCGGCUGGUCUAGUCCUAAGAGCCAAGAGGAGCGAGCGAGAGCGGCAGAAGGGAGAGCAGCCACGCUCCCGUAGCGAGGGGAACGUACAAACAGCGUCCGCGCCGUCAUUAAACCACCGCCGCCCCGGGCAGCCCCGACCCACCCUGGAUGCGGAGGACCCCCGAGCCACCCCGCUGCCUUUCCCCUGAGGGAUGGUACUGAAUUCCUGCGCGGCAGGAGCCGGCCUGCAGCCCCUCUCCAUCAGCGUUGCCUUCCCUCCGUGUCUAAAGUGCACGAGACCGCGAUGAGGACCUGGGCUUGCGUUUUGCUGAUAGGUUUUGGGUACCUGUCCUUUACCUUCUCCGAGGAGGCCGAGAUCCCGCAGGAGCUCAUCGAGCGGCUGGCGCACAGCGAGAUCCACAGCAUCCGCGACUUGCAGCGCCUCCUGGAGAUUGACUCCGUAGGAUAUGAUGAUGUUUCAGAAACAAACUUGAGAUCUUACAGUGUUCAUUCUGCUAAACAUGUGCAAGAGAACCGUCCUGUGCCCAUUCGCAGAAAAAGAAGCAUUGAGGAGGCCAUCCCGGCGGUGUGCAAGACGCGGACGGUGAUCUACGAGAUACCUCGGAGCCAGAUCGACCCCACCUCGGCCAACUUCCUGAUAUGGCCGCCCUGCGUGGAGGUGAAGCGCUGCACCGGCUGCUGCAACACCAGCAGCGUCAAGUGCCAGCCCUCCCGGAUACACCACAGGAGCGUCAAGGUGGCAAAAGUGGAGUAUGUUAGAAAAAAGCCAAAAUUAAAAGAAGUUCUGGUGAGAUUAGAAGAGCAUAUGGAAUGCACCUGUACAUCAUCAAAUACUAAUUCAGAUUAUAGAGAAGAAGAAACUGAUUAACAGGUAUUUAUUGGGAGUAGUAUGAUAGAAGCAAAGAUUUUCUAAAAUUCAACUUUAAAAGUGAGCAUGUAAACUCAAUCAAAACAGCAUUUAGAACUUCUUGUCCCAGAUGUAAGGUGAAAAUAAGCUAGAAAAAAAACUUCUCUCUGGGACAUGGAUGUACAUGGUUUGUUACAUUCCUGAACCUACUAUGUAUGGUGCUUAUUGACUGUAUACUUUAUUUGUUCUCCUGUGUGAAAAAACUGGCUCAAAAGAACACUUAAUGAGAACAAAGAGACAAUGUACAUUUGUUUAAUGUGACAUCAAAGCAAGUAUUGUAGCACUCUGUGAAACAAUAGGAAGCUUCCCUGUCCAAAAAAGAAAAAAAAACGAAAGAAAGAAAAACAGAAAAGAAAAAAAGACAGUUGAAUGAAUGGAAGAUACCAAAAGUACUCAAAAACAUGACAAAAAUCUAAGUGAAUAGUGGAUUUCUGUCAGAGCAGUCAACGGUGCUUUACGUCAAGAAAUGUGCCUGCGUUCUUGAUGAAGAUGGAUGGACACUGGUGGACUUCAGGCACAAAAAAAGCAGGAAUGUAUGAAAUGAUCAAAUGCCACGCAAACACUAUAGAACAAUACAUCCUUGCUUGGUGGUGUUUUAAAAGUCUAUACAAAAAAACCUUCUGGGGAGCCUUAAGUGGAUUUUUUUUUUUUUUUACACCAUAAAGUGAUUAUUAAGUUUUCUUUUUACUCUUUGCCUAGCUUUUUAUUAUCUCUCGGACUACAUUUGCCAAUAACACAUAUAAAAGACUGGUAUAACAAUAAGCAGAACACGAAACAUUAUGGUAUUUCUCCUAGUGGGAUGCAAACUAAUGAGAUGUAUUAAAAUAAAAAUGGUAUACCUAUGCAUAAUUUUCUAGAUGUUUCUUGGUUUAUGUUCCCCAACCUCCCCCGUAAUUUAAAGCAUUACAUAAAAGAAAAAAAAAUAAAAAGUGAAAAAAAAGGACAGAUGUGCGUAAACAAAUCAUAGGAUAUCCAUGCAAAAAUCCUUAUUUUUUUUCUUUAAGACUUAUGCCAGUUGCCUACUAGUGAUAUUGUGUUAGCAAUUGUCAUUCUUAUCAGUAUACAGAUACUUUUAUUUCACAUGUUGGAGCUGUGUGAAAUGUACAAAUUCUUGUAUCUGCAUUGUAUAAUGUCAUGGUGGCAUGGGAACUACCUUGCUGCAAAUAUUUGAACAAAACCUAAAAUUCUUUAUUUUUGGUAAAAUGUUAUGCUUUAUGUGUAUUCAACAGAAAUAUGUGUUUUUGUAAAGGUGAAGUUUGUAUUUUUAUCUAAAAAUUAACAGUUUUAUAUACCUGA